AGAGUGUUAUCGCAUGCAGAGGGGAAGAUGGAAUGUCAGUCCCAGGAGAAGUCACCACAGAAGUGGGAGAAUGUAACAUUGAACAUUUUAAGGUUCUACAAUCACAUAAUCAGAAGAGAGGGAGCAGAGAAAUUUAUACACAGAGUUACUUCUGAAGGACAAUAAGGAGCAAUGCGGCACCUCGGGGCCAUGAGUGUGGAUCUAGAAAGUGGGACUGAGUGAAUUCCAUGCCAAAGUGUUGACAACAUCUGAUAUGUGCAAGAGGGAUGCUGCGCGCACAGAACUGCACAUCUUGCUGAACAUAAUACCAUGCAAACACCAGUGGGGUUAGAUUUGCACACAGUAAUCAUUUAUUUGCUAUAAAAACAGAUGUGCCUUAUAAUUGCAUCUAAAAGGUGUGCUCCCAAAAUUAACAAUCCAAAACCUGU
Molecule: long non-coding RNA, 428 nt
Organism: Harpia harpyja (harpy eagle)
Lineage: Eukaryota; Metazoa; Chordata; Aves; Accipitriformes; Accipitridae
Exons: 3
Source: RefSeq, a predicted model, not a curated record